Molecule: ribosomal RNA, 478 nt
Filed under: uncultured bacterium
Lineage: Bacteria
Description: partial 16S ribosomal RNA
Rfam family: Bacterial small subunit ribosomal RNA
Source: RNAcentral
GACGAACGCUGGCGGCGUGCUUAACACAUGCAAGUCGAACGGUAAGGCCCUUCGGGGUACACGAGUGGCGAACGGGUGAGUAACACGUGGGUGAUCUGCCCUGCACUUCGGGAUAAGCCUGGGAAACUGGGUCUAAUACCGGAUAGGACCACUGCCUGCAUGGGUGGUGGUGGAAAGCUUCUGCGGUGUGGGAUGGGCCCGCGGCCUAUCAGCUUGUUUGUGGGGUGAUGGCCUACCAAGGCGACGACGGGUAGCCGGCCGGAGAGGGGGACCGGCCACACUGGGACUGAGAUACGGCCCAGACUCCUACGGGAGGCAGCAGUGGGGAAUAUUGCACAAUGGGCGCAAGCCUGAUGCAGCGACGCCGCGUGAGGGAUGACGGCCUUCGGGUUGUAAACCUCUUUCAGCACCGACGAAGCGCAAGUGACGGUAGGUGCAGAAGAAGGACCGGCCAACUACGUGCCAGCCGCCGCCGUAA